GACGAACGCUGGCGGCGUGCUUAACACAUGCAAGUCGAACGGAAAGGCCCUGCUUUUGUGGGGUGCUCGAGUGGCGAACGGGUGAGUAACACGUGAGUAUCCUGCCCUUGACUUUGGGAUAACUUCAGGAAACUGGGGCUAAUACCGGAUAGGAGCUCCUGCUGCAUGGUGGGGGUUGGAAAGUUUCGGCGUUUGGGGAUGGACUCGCGGCUUAUCAGCUUGUUGGUGGGGUAGUGGCUUACCAAGGCUUUGACGGGUAGCCGGCCUGGGAGCGGGACCGGCCACAUUGGGACUAAGAGACGGCCCAGACUCCUACGGGAGGCAGCAGUGGGGAAUAUUGCACAGUGGGCGGAAGCCUGAGGCAGCAACGCCGCGUGCGGGAUGACGGCCUACGGGUGGUAAACCGCUUUCGCCGGUGCCGAAGCGUGAGUGACGGUAAUGGGUAAAGAAGCACCGGCUAACUACGUG
This 468-nucleotide ribosomal RNA is filed under the name uncultured bacterium. RNAcentral's name for it is "partial 16S ribosomal RNA". It matches the Rfam family "Bacterial small subunit ribosomal RNA", at positions 28 to 507 of the family's 1533-position model. The record is from RNAcentral.